AACCGCCGUGUACGGAACCGUACGUACGGUGGUGUGAGAGGACGGCGAGGGUGGUGGGACCCCGCCGUUCCUACCCGAU
This 79-nucleotide unclassified non-coding RNA is filed under the name Candidatus Kentrum sp. LFY. The record is from RNAcentral. Lineage: Bacteria; Pseudomonadati; Pseudomonadota; Gammaproteobacteria.